RNAcentral lists this ribosomal RNA (1372 nucleotides) under uncultured bacterium. RNAcentral describes it as "bacterial SSU rRNA". It matches the Rfam family "Bacterial small subunit ribosomal RNA", at positions 28 to 1381 of the family's 1533-position model. The record is from RNAcentral.
GAUGAGCGCUGGCGGCGUGCCUAAUACAUGCAAGUCGAGCGAACGGACGAGAAGCUUGCUUCUCUGAUGUUAGCGGCGGACGGGUGAGUAACACGUGGAUAACCUACCUAUAAGACUGGGAUAACUUCGGGAAACCGUAGCUAAUACCGGAUAAUAUUUUGAACCGCAUGGUUCAAAAGUGAAAGACGGUCUUGCUGUCACUUAUAGAUGGAUCCGCGCUGCAUUAGCUAGUUGGUAAGGUAACGGCUUACCAAGGCAACGAUGCAUAGCCGACCUGAGAGGGUGAUCGGCCACACUGGAACUGAGACACGGUCCAGACUCCUACGGGAGGCAGCAGUAGGGAAUCUUCCGCAAUGGGCGAAAGCCUGACGGAGCAACGCCGCGUGAGUGAUGAAGGUCUUCGGAUCGUAAAACUCUGUUAUUAGGGAAGAACAUAUGUGUAAGUAACUGUGCACAUCUUGACGGUACCUAAUCAGAAAGCCACGGCUAACUACGUGCCAGCAGCCGCGGUAAUACGUAGGUGGCAAGCGUUAUCCGGAAUUAUUGGGCGUAAAGCGCGCGUAGGCGGUUUUUUAAGUCUGAUGUGAAAGCCCACGGCUCAACCGUGGAGGGUCAUUGGAAACUGGAAAACUUGAGUGCAGAAGAGGAAAGUGGAAUUCCAUGUGUAGCGGUGAAAUGCGCAGAGAUAUGGAGGAACACCAGUGGCGAAGGCGACUCUCUGGUCUGUAACUGACGCUGAUGUGCGAAAGCGUGGGGAUCAAACAGGAUUAGAUACCCUGGUAGUCCACGCCGUAAACGAUGAGUGCUAAGUGUUAGGGGGUUUCCGCCCCUUAGUGCUGCAGCUAACGCAUUAAGCACUCCGCCUGGGGAGUACGACCGCAAGGUUGAAACUCAAAGGAAUUGACGGGGACCCGCACAAGCGGUGGAGCAUGUGGUUUAAUUCGAAGCAACGCGAAGAACCUUACCAAAUCUUGACAUCCUUUGACAACUCUAGAGAUAGAGCCUUCCCCUUCGGGGGACAAAGUGACAGGUGGUGCAUGGUUGUCGUCAGCUCGUGUCGUGGGAUGUUGGGUUAAGUCCCGCAACGAGCGCAACCCUUAAGCUUAGUUGCCAUCAUUAAGUUGGGCACUCUAAGUUGACUGCCGGUGACAAACCGGAGGAAGGUGGGGAUGACGUCAAAUCAUCAUGCCCCUUAUGAUUUGGGCUACACACGUGCUACAAUGGACAAUACAAAGGGCAGCGAAACCGCGAGGUCAAGCAAAUCCCAUAAAGUUGUUCUCAGUUCGGAUUGUAGUCUGCAACUCGACUACAUGAAGCUGGAAUCGCUAGUAAUCGUAGAUCAGCAUGCUACGGUGAAUACGUUCCCGGGUCU